Molecule: ribosomal RNA, 301 nt
Filed under: uncultured bacterium
Lineage: Bacteria
Description: partial 16S ribosomal RNA
Rfam family: Bacterial small subunit ribosomal RNA
Source: RNAcentral
CAGUCGCCGCGGUAAUACGUAGGGUGCAAGCGUUAAUCGGAAUUACUGGGCGCAAAGCGUGCGCAGGCGGUUCGUUAAGACAGAUGUGAAAUCCCCGGGCUUAACCUGGGAACUGCAUUUGAGACUGUAUGGCUAGAGUGUGUCAGAGGGGGGUAGAAUUCCACGUGUAGCAGUGAAAUGCGUAGAUAUGUGGAGGAAUACCGAUGGCGAAGGCAGCCCCCUGGGAUAACACUGACGCUCAUGCACGAAAGCGUGGGGAGCAAACAGGAUUAGAUACCCCCGUAGUCCCUGUCUCUUAUAC